GCGCCGCACUGUAUGCUAUCCCGUGCGGCGGAAAAAAAAAGUCCCACGCCUCCCUUAGUAACCGAUGCGCGUUAUCCCCUCUUCAUCUGUCUGAGCCACACGUUUCUUUCUCUCUCUCCAGACCGAAGCAGCGACGGAAAUUUUGAGGAGCACCGCGCCGGCGAGGUUGCCGCUGUUGCCGCGCACGCAUCGGGAUGCUGCCUCCACAGGAGCACGCGGCCGCAGGGUAGGACGCCUCCGUCAAGCUCGCAUCGUGAUGCUGCCUCCACACGAGUAUGCAGUUGCAGGGGAGGCCGUCGCCGGGCAUGCUCCGGCAGGGGCAGGCCGCCGCCGUCAAGCAUGGACCGGAGGAAGCCGCAGGCGCUGAGCACGCACCAAGGGGAGCUUCCGUCCACGAACGAGCGAAGGGGAGACCGCCGCCGACGAGCGAGCGAAGGGCUGGCCCCCACCGUCGAGCAUGCUCCAGGAGGGGAGGCCGCCGCCAUCGAGCACGGAGGAGGCAUGCGCCAUGAGGAUGAGGAACGCCUCGCUGGGAAGCACGCGGGGAUGGGUCGUCGUCGCUGAGCACCAAGGGAGGACCUCGUUGCCAGUUUAAUUUAGUGCUAAUUGCCAUAUUACUCCUAGUAGUUGAUCCUAGUUUCCGUAUUACUAGUACUCCAAAUUACCGGAUUAAUUGGGAGUAACUGCCAUAUUAGUUGAUCCUAGUUUCCGUAUAUUAUUUCCUAGAGUAAUUAGGUCCUAAUUAUCGGAUUAACUGGAAGUAAUUACCAAUUUCAAAUGAGAUUAGCUGCCAGGUUAGGAAGGAUCUGGUGUUUUCU
Lolium rigidum is the source of this 818-nucleotide long non-coding RNA. RefSeq lists it as uncharacterized. The transcript has 2 exons. NCBI's taxonomy places the organism in Eukaryota, Viridiplantae, Streptophyta, Magnoliopsida, Poales, Poaceae. The record is from RefSeq and is a predicted model, not a curated record.